CUAGUGAGAUUAAAUAACGGCUGGCAGUGGAUGUAACACACUACUGGCAGGGGACAUAUCUCUUGAUGGCUGACUGUGAGCCAGGCCGGAUGGCCAUUUGGAGGGAAUUAAGGGCAGGCACUGUGGAUGAGAUGGCACAUAUUCUAAAUGAGGUACUCUUAGAGCAGGGACCUGUGGAUGAAUUGCUGAUGGACAACAGCACAGCAUUUCAU
This is a long non-coding RNA of Octopus sinensis (East Asian common octopus), 212 nucleotides long. RefSeq lists it as uncharacterized. Lineage: Eukaryota; Metazoa; Mollusca; Cephalopoda; Octopoda; Octopodidae. The record is from RefSeq and is a predicted model, not a curated record. The transcript has 3 exons.